Molecule: ribosomal RNA, 484 nt
Filed under: uncultured bacterium
Lineage: Bacteria
Description: partial 16S ribosomal RNA
Rfam family: Bacterial small subunit ribosomal RNA
Source: RNAcentral
AUUGAACGCUGGCGGCAGGCCUAACACAUGCAAGUCGAGCGGAUGAAGGGAGCUUGCUCCUGGAUUCAGCGGCGGACGGGUGAGUAAUGCCUAGGAAUCUGCCUGGUAGUGGGGGAUAACGUCCGGAAACGGGCGCUAAUACCGCAUACGUCCUGAGGGAGAAAGUGGGGGAUCUUCGGACCUCACGCUAUCAGAUGAGCCUAGGUCGGAUUAGCUAGUUGGUGGGGUAAAGGCCUACCAAGACGACGAUCCGUAACUGGUCUGAGAGGAUGAUCAGUCACACUGGAACUGAGACACGGUCCAGACUCCUACGGGAGGCAGCAGUGGGGAAUAUUGGACAAUGGGCGAAAGCCUGAUCCAGCCAUGCCGCGUGUGUGAAGAAGGUCUUCGGAUUGUAAAGCACUUUAAGUUGGGAGGAAGGGCAGUAAGUUAAUACCUUGCUGUUUUGACGUUACCAACAGAAUAAGCACCGGCUAACUUCGUG